This 22-nucleotide microRNA is filed under the name Panagrellus redivivus. Its description in RNAcentral is "prd-miR-7879-5p". The record is from miRBase by way of RNAcentral. Lineage: Eukaryota; Metazoa; Nematoda; Chromadorea; Rhabditida; Panagrolaimidae.
AAUGUGAACGAGCAACAAAACG